Molecule: ribosomal RNA, 305 nt
Filed under: uncultured bacterium
Lineage: Bacteria
Description: bacterial SSU rRNA
Rfam family: Bacterial small subunit ribosomal RNA
Source: RNAcentral
GCCUACGGGACGCAGCAGUGAGGAAUAUUGGUCAAUGGACGAGAGUCUGAACCAGCCAAGUAGCGUGAAGGAUGACUGCCCUAUGGGUUGUAAACUUCUUUUAUAUGGGAAUAAAACAGGGUAUGCAUACCCUCUUGUAUGUACCAUAUGAAUAAGGAUCGGCUAACUCCGUGCCAGCAGCCGCGGUAAUACGGAGGAUGCGAGCGUUAUCCGGAUUUAUUGGGUUUAAAGGGUGCGUAGGCGGAUUUUUAAGUCAGCGGUAAAAUGUCCGGGCUCAACCCGGGCCGGCCGUUGAAACUGGGGAU